ACAAACUCAAAAGAGAUGAAGAUGAACAGGAUGAUUUUGAAGAAAGGAUUAAUUUAAAACUAGCUGAACAGGAGGAAGAUCUUGAAAGGAUUAAGGAGGAGAGUAGAAAACGCAGGAAAGCCAUUCUUGAAAAAUUUAGGAAUCAGCAGUCACAGCAGCAAAAUGAGACUCAAUCAGAGGAUGCGGAAAAAGAUGUUGAUGAACCUGCACAACUUCCUGUCCAAUCACUACCAGCUUAUAAUGUUGCUCCAGAAACUCUUGAUAAUAGGAUUGAUGGUGAUGUCUUUUUGGCUGAGCCACCAUUUUCUGUGGGCAAGUCACCUGAACAAAAUGAAACAAAGGAUUCUGGGAGGACUUCUGGUGCCGUGGGGCUUGGAGAGGGUACUCCCAAGAGCGAGAGGUCAGAUGAAAAAUACUGUGAUGACAUAUUUGGAGAGACACCUGCUGGAGUUCGUAAAUCAGGGAAGGGAGAUGGUUUGCCAAUUAUGCGGAGUGGUCUUCAUGACAACUGGGAUGACUCUGAUGGGUAUUAUGGCUACCGAUUUGGUGAAAUACUUGAUGGUCGGUAUGAAAUUGUGGCUGCUCAUGGGAAAGGCGUCUUUUCCACUGGAAAAGGUGUCUUUUCCACAGUAAUUCGUGCGAAGGAUUUAAAGGCUGGUGUUGGUGAACCUGAAGAAGUGGCUAUAAAAAUCAUUCGUAAUAAUGAAACAAUGCAAAGAGCUGGUCAGUCAGAGGUUAAGAUAUUAAAUAAACUAGCAGAUCUAGAUCAGGAGAACAAGCGCCAUUGUGUUCGUUUCCUUUCAAGUUUUAAGUAUAGAAAUCAUCUUUGUUUAGUUUUUGAAUCUCUUCAUAUGAACCUUCGUGAGGUUUUAAAAAAGUUUGGUCGCAAUAUCGGCCUUAAACUAACUGCUGUGAGGGCGUAUGCAAAGCAGCUUUUUAUUGCACUGAAGCAUCUUAAGAACUGUGGUGUUCUUCAUUGUGAUAUAAAGCCUGAUAACAUGCUGGUAAACGAGGCAAAAAAUGUGCUGAAGCUUUGUGAUUUUGGUAAUGCCAUGUUUUCUGGUAAAAAUGAAAUUACUCCAUACCUUGUGAGCCGCUUUUAUCGUGCUCCGGAAGUCAUUCUUGGCUUGCCAUAUGAUCAUCCAAUGGAUAUGUGGUCUGUUGGUUGCUGCUUGUAUGAGCUUUAUACCGGUAAAGUUCUUUUUCCUGGUCCUACAAAUAAUGACAUGUUGCGACUUCACAUGGAACUGAAAGGCUCUUUUCCAAAGAAGAUGCUUAAGAAGGGUGCAUUUGUUGACCAGCAUUUUGAUCAGGAUUUGCAUUUUCAUGCUACAGAGGAGGAUCCUGUUACUAAAAGGACUGUAAAGAGGAUGAUUCUAAAUAUAA
RNAcentral lists this unclassified non-coding RNA (1386 nucleotides) under Hevea brasiliensis (rubber tree). Lineage: Eukaryota; Viridiplantae; Streptophyta; Magnoliopsida; Malpighiales; Euphorbiaceae. The record is from RNAcentral.